GCACAAAUGAUGGAAAAAUCACUAUUUGGAAAAAAAUGACAUGAACAAAGGAACCACUGAUGCGC
Molecule: small nucleolar RNA, 65 nt
Organism: Camelus ferus (Wild Bactrian camel)
Lineage: Eukaryota; Metazoa; Chordata; Mammalia; Artiodactyla; Camelidae
Rfam family: Small nucleolar RNA SNORD42
About the family: snoRNA U42 is found in intron 3 of the ribosomal protein L23a (RPL23a) gene in humans and is also present in mice. U42 is a member of the C/D class of snoRNA which contain C (UGAUGA) and D (CUGA) box motifs.
Source: Rfam